UUUAAGGAUGAGAAGAUAUAGAAUGGUGCACAUGUGCAAAGGCAAACAAAAUAGUGACUCUGAGGCUCAAGCGAUGUCCUCGUCGUUGGAUUGCACAUGGUUGGAAUGAAAAUCCGUUCGGUAAACAAGUUCAUCUUUUCUUUGCACCUCUCUUGAUCUUCAUGAUAGUAAAAAUUACUCCUUUAUUUCAUUCUCUCUUUUCCUAUUAUUUCUUUUUUUAUUUUUCUUAAUAUUUUCCUUUCUUUCUUCCCUUCUUUCUUUCUUUCUUUAUUUUUAAUCCCUUCUUUGAACCUAAUUUGAACAUCACACCAUAAAAAUCAGUUUUAGAUACUUCCACAGACCUUCCAGGAAUUUGUUGCGUGAAAACCAAGGCAAGGAGACCCUAGGCCGAUCGGCCUGGAUGGGACCAGGCCGAUCGGCCUGGACUCUCCUUUCCUCCCCUCUGGCUCUUCUUUUGGGUGAAGCUUCCUUAUCUUGUAUCUUUCCAAAAAUUUCAUAAAGCUCGACUAGAAACUAACCAGAUCUUCAUAUAAUGGGUUGCGUUCAAGGAAUAGGUAAUAAAUUGAGAAAUUUAUGGUUUCAGUUUAGGGAUUCAAUAGAAAAUAUGAUUGUUCCAAUAAAAAACUCUCAUUACUGAAUAUUAACAAGGCUAGCAUUCACAAAUGGUAAAAAGGAUAUGGUCAAUACAUAGAAUUAAAGCAAACUAAGAGAGAGCGAUCCUAAUUCAAUUCAAAGCAUCAAAUCUUGCUUAUGGUGGUAUGAAUAAAUAUUUUUAGGCAUUGGGUAGGAUAAAUAAAAAAUCUCAACCUGGUUAGAAGAUCUUGAUCAAUCUUAUUAUUUGCAGAGGUUGUAAAUAAACAAUAAAAUUUUAAAUCACCUCCAAUUCAAGUCUUACUCAUAAAGCAUAAUCAAAAUCGAAACACUUGAUCAUCAUAAAGAAUGGGUAUUGCAUAAACAACCCAAUUACUAAAACUCCACAACUAAGAUUUAGAAUUCAAGAUAAUGCUCAUGAUCCAAAGUUGCAAAGAUAAAAUAAAAGACAAGCAAGCCAAGGUAGACACUAAAAACACUAGCAUGAUCCUCGAAUUUUAUUCGUGCUUCUUCUCUCAAAGACGCUAAAGUAGCAAUCUAGGCCUAAGGCUUCCUAGAAGCUUAAGAAGACUACUAUUUUAUCUACUUUUGAUUGAAAUAAAAAUACUAAUUUAGACUCUCACACAACUUGACUCGACCAAACUAGAUCCAAAAACUCACACGAGUGACGAUCUCCCCCUCCCUCCCCC
This 1280-nucleotide long non-coding RNA is filed under the name Setaria viridis. RNAcentral describes it as "long non-coding RNA (SVIR_LNC002837)". The record is from RNAcentral. Lineage: Eukaryota; Viridiplantae; Streptophyta; Magnoliopsida; Poales; Poaceae.